GAUGAACGCUGGCGGCGUGCUUAACACAUGCAAGUCGAACGAGAGGUGAAGACGGAAACCUUCGGGCGGAAGGCUUUAUUUCGAGUGGCGGACGGGUGAGUAACGCGUGGGUAACCUGCCUCAUACAGGGGGAUAACAGUUGGAAACGACGGUUAAUACCGCAUAAGACCACAGCACCGCAUGGUGCGGGGGUAAAAACUCCGGUGGUAUGAGAUGGACCCGCGUUCGAUUAGCCAGUUGGCGGGGUAACGGCCCACCAAAGCGACGAUCGAUAGCCGAUCUGAGAGGAUGACCGGCCACAUUGGGACUGAGACACGGCCCAAACUCCUACGGGAGGCAGCAGUGGGGAAUAUUGCACAAUGGGGGAAACCCUGAUGCAGCGACGCCGCGUGAGUGAAGAAGUAUUUCGGUAUGUAAAGCUCUAUCAGCAGGGAAGAAAAUGACGGUACCUGAGUAAGAAGCCCCGGCUAACUACGUG
RNAcentral lists this ribosomal RNA (478 nucleotides) under uncultured bacterium. RNAcentral describes it as "partial 16S ribosomal RNA". It matches the Rfam family "Bacterial small subunit ribosomal RNA", at positions 28 to 507 of the family's 1533-position model. The record is from RNAcentral.